UUAAUCAUAAAAACAUGGUGAUCAUGUGAAACCACAUACAGCCAGAAUGACUUGUGCCAAGUUGCAAGAGUUUGGAUGGGAAAACUUCCCUAUCCAGCAUAUUUCCCUGACCUUGCACCAUCUGAUUCUGUUUUGCAGCCUUGAACGUUAUCUUUCUGGAGAAAAACUUCAAAAUGUCAAGAUCACCAAACCUUGUCAGAGUUUUUUAGAUCAAAAUCCACAGAAGACUUCAAGUCUAGCAUUCAAAAACUUGAACAGUGAAAUAAGGUUGUCACUUAUAAUGUAAGGGUCCUGCAACAUAGGUAGACUGGUGUCCUGAGUUUGUUUUAUCAUUUGAUAAUCCAUCUUCUGACACCAGUGUAAGUGAAUGGCUGAUAUAAAAAUGUGUAUCGAUAAAUUUUAGGGUAUUUUUGAAUAAAGGUCAUGAGUAAAUAA
RNAcentral lists this long non-coding RNA (435 nucleotides) under Androctonus crassicauda. Lineage: Eukaryota; Metazoa; Arthropoda; Arachnida; Scorpiones; Buthidae. The record is from RNAcentral.